This 73-nucleotide transfer RNA is filed under the name Salibacteraceae bacterium. RNAcentral's name for it is "tRNA-Phe". It matches the Rfam family "tRNA". Rfam says of the family: Transfer RNA (tRNA) molecules are approximately 80 nucleotides in length. Their secondary structure includes four short double-helical elements and three loops (D, anti-codon, and T loops). Further hydrogen bonds mediate the characteristic L-shaped molecular structure. tRNAs have two regions of fundamental functional importance: the anti-codon, which is responsible for specific mRNA codon recognition, and the 3' end, to which the tRNAs corresponding amino acid is attached (by aminoacyl-tRNA synthetases). tRNAs cope with the degeneracy of the genetic code in two manners: having more than one tRNA (with a specific anti-codon) for a particular amino acid; and 'wobble' base-pairing, i.e. permitting non-standard base-pairing at the 3rd anti-codon position. The record is from RNAcentral. Lineage: Bacteria; Pseudomonadati; Bacteroidota; Flavobacteriia; Flavobacteriales; Salibacteraceae.
GGUGCCAUAGCUCAGUUGGUAGAGCAACGGACUGAAAAUCCGUGUGUCGCUGGUUCAAAUCCAGCUGGCACCA